RNAcentral lists this ribosomal RNA (468 nucleotides) under uncultured bacterium. RNAcentral describes it as "partial 16S ribosomal RNA". It matches the Rfam family "Bacterial small subunit ribosomal RNA", at positions 28 to 507 of the family's 1533-position model. The record is from RNAcentral.
GACGAACGCUGGCGGCGUGCUUAACACAUGCAAGUCGAACGGAAAGGCCCUGCUUUUGUGGGGUGCUCGAGUGGCGAACGGGUGAGUAACACGUGAGUAACCUGCCCUUGACUUUGGGAUAACUUCAGGAAACUGGGGCUAAUACCGGAUAGGAGCUCCUGCUGCAUGGUGGGGGUUGGUAAGUUUCGGCGGUUGGGGAUGGACUCGCGGCUUAUCAGCUUGUUGGUGGGGUAGUGGCUUACCAAGGCUUUGACGGGUAGCCGGCCUGAGAGGGUGACCGGCCACAUUGGGACUGAGAUACGGCCCAGACUCCUACGGGAGGCAGCAGUGGGGAAUAUUGCACAAUGGGCGGAAGCCUGAUGCAGCAACGCCGCGUGCGGGAUGACGGCCUUCGGGCUGUAAACCGCUUUCGCCUGUGACGAAGCGUGAGUGACGGUAAUGGGUAAAGAGGCACCGGCUAACUACGUG